UACGUAGGGGGCAAGCGUUGUCCGGAUUUAUUGGGCGUAAAGGGCGUGUAGGCGGCCAGAUAGGUCAGCUGUGAAAACUCGAGGCUCAACCUCGAGAUGUCGGCUGAAACCAUCUGGCUAGAGUCCGGAAGAGGAGAAUGGAAUUCCCGGUGUAGCGGUGAAAUGCGCAGAUAUCGGGAAGAACACCCGUGGCGAAGGCGGUUCUCUGGGACGGUACUGACGCUGAGACGCGAAAGCGUGGGGAGCGAACAGG
Molecule: ribosomal RNA, 253 nt
Filed under: uncultured bacterium
Lineage: Bacteria
Description: partial 16S ribosomal RNA
Rfam family: Bacterial small subunit ribosomal RNA
Source: RNAcentral